AGUGAACGCUGGCGGUAGGCCUAACACAUGCAAGUCGAACGGCAGCACGGGAGAGCUUGCUCUCUGGGUGGCGAGUGGCGGACGGGUGAGGAAUACAUCGGAAUCUACUCUGUCGUGGGGGAUAACGUGGGGAAACUUACGCUAAUACCGCAUAUGACCUACGGGUGAAAGCAGGGGACCUUCGGGCCUUGCGCGAUUGAAUGAGCCGAUGUCGGAUUAGCUAGUUGGCGGGGUAAAGGCCCACCAAGGCGACGAUCCGUAGCUGGUCUGGGAGGAGGAUCAGCCACACGGGAACGGAGACACGGUCAAGACUCCUACGGGAGGCAGCAGUGGGGAAUAUUGGACAAUGGGCGCAAGCCUGAUCCAGCCAUACCGCGUGGGUGAAGAAGGCCUUCGGGUUGUAAAGCCCUUUUGUUGGGAAAGAAAUCCAGCUGGCUAAUACCCGGUUGGGAUGACGGUACCCAAAGAAUAAGCACCGGCUAACUUCGUGCCAGCCGCCGCGGUAA
This 506-nucleotide ribosomal RNA is filed under the name uncultured bacterium. RNAcentral's name for it is "partial 16S ribosomal RNA". It matches the Rfam family "Bacterial small subunit ribosomal RNA", at positions 29 to 523 of the family's 1533-position model. The record is from RNAcentral.